RNAcentral lists this ribosomal RNA (588 nucleotides) under Candida tropicalis. Its description in RNAcentral is "eukaryotic LSU rRNA". It matches the Rfam family "Eukaryotic large subunit ribosomal RNA", at positions 51 to 655 of the family's 3401-position model. Lineage: Eukaryota; Fungi; Ascomycota; Pichiomycetes; Serinales; Debaryomycetaceae. The record is from RNAcentral.
UGGAGGAAAAGAAACCAACAGGGAUUGCCUUAGUAGCGGCGAGUGAAGCGGCAAAAGCUCAAAUUUGAAAUCUGGCUCUUUCAGAGUCCGAGUUGUAAUUUGAAGAAGGUAUCUUUGGGUCUGGCUCUUGUCUAUGUUUCUUGGAACAGAACGUCACAGAGGGUGAGAAUCCCGUGCGAUGAGAUGAUCCAGGCCUAUGUAAAGUUCCUUCGAAGAGUCGAGUUGUUUGGGAAUGCAGCUCUAAGUGGGUGGUAAAUUCCAUCUAAAGCUAAAUAUUGGCGAGAGACCGAUAGCGAACAAGUACAGUGAUGGAAAGAUGAAAAGAACUUUGAAAAGAGAGUGAAAAAGUACGUGAAAUUGUUGAAAGGGAAGGGCUUGAGAUCAGACUUGGUAUUUUGUAUGUUACUUCUUCGGGGGUGGCCUCUACAGUUUAUCGGGCCAGCAUCAGUUUGGGCGGUAGGAGAAUUGCGUUGGAAUGUGGCACGGCUUCGGUUGUGUGUUAUAGCCUUCGUCGAUACUGCCAGCCUAGACUGAGGACUGCGGUUUAUACCUAGGAUGUUGGCAUAAUGAUCUUAAGUCGCCCGUCUU